GCGGAAGGAUCAUUACCGAGUGUAGGGUUCCUAGCGAGCCCAACCUCCCACCCGUGUUUACUGUACCUUAGUUGCUUCGGCGGGCCCGCCAUUCGUGGCCGCCGGGGGCUCUCAGCCCCGGGCCCGCGCCCGCCGGAGACACCACGAACUCUGUCUGAUCUAGUGAAGUCUGAGUUGAUUGUAUCGCAAUCAGUUAAAACUUUCAACAAUGGAUCUCUUGGUUCCGGCAUCGAUGAAGAACGCAGCGAAAUGCGAUAACUAGUGUGAAUUGCAGAAUUCCGUGAAUCAUCGAGUCUUUGAACGCACAUUGCGCCCCCUGGUAUUCCGGGGGGCAUGCCUGUCCGAGCGUCAUUGCUGCCCAUCAAGCACGGCUUGUGUGUUGGGUCGUCGUCCCCUCUCCGGGGGGGACGGGCCCCAAAGGCAGCGGCGGCACCGCGUCCGAUCCUCGAGCGUAUGGGGCUUUGUCACCCGCUCUGUAGGCCCGGCCGGCGCUUGCCGAACGCAAAUCAAUCUUUUUCCAGGUUGACCUCGGAUCAGGUAGGGAUACCCGCUGAACUUAAGCAUAU
This 566-nucleotide ribosomal RNA is filed under the name Aspergillus flavus. RNAcentral's name for it is "eukaryotic LSU rRNA". The stretch from base 198 to 351 matches the Rfam family "5.8S ribosomal RNA". Lineage: Eukaryota; Fungi; Ascomycota; Eurotiomycetes; Eurotiales; Aspergillaceae. The record is from RNAcentral.